UUAGUCUUUGGACCCCCUCCAGUGUGAGCAUUACUUGGGCAAUUACUUUCCCCGUAAUGUAGCAGAUGCAAGUUAACAGAUACUGAAACUACACAAGACCUUAGACAGAUAAACAUGUACCAGCGUGACUUUGAGCAGUCAGGACAAUAGAGAGGACUUUUAAUGCACAAAAGCAGAACAAAGGAUCAAAUCACACUAAUAAAUCAAAUCAGAACAAAAACGAAAGCCUCGAGUGUGUGUUCGAGGAAGCCCAGACGCAGAAGGAAUCCAGAGGAGUGAUGCGCUGAGCGGGGUCCCGGGCUUCCAUCUGUCAGAAUCACUCAUUCCAGAGCAGCAGAAAUCUACCAGCGGAGUUUCCUGUGACUUCCGGCCUCGGCGAGGCAGGUUCAGGCAGCCUCAGGCUCAGCCCAUGGGAGAGGCCUCCUCCCAAUCACAGACCCUUCCUGGUGCCAGAGCUUGGAAGAACUGCCGCAGGGUAGAAAAGGACCUCAGGGCAGCGCGGCUCGCAGAGCAGCCGGCCCGGUGCCAGGAGGAGGAGACGGCGCUAGCAAAGGAACUCGCAGAGUGUUGAGCAAUUGGAGUAAAUCAUCCUGAUGCCAGGCCGCCGGGCAGUUCUCCACAGGGUGGGGCCCACGGGGGCCGUUCCUGCACAUGGAAAACUUCGUGAGGUUCGGAUCCUGGGCACAGACCUACACACCGCUCAUCAAACCAUGUUGUGGCAGCGUCCCACAUAUAAAAGAGAGGAACAUUGGCAACAGAUGUUAGCUCAGGGCCAAUCUUCCUCACAAAAGGAAAAAGAAGAAGAAGAAGAAUGCAACAAAUUCAAUAGAAGUCUGGCUUAAGGGUCAGGAGAUCAGGACUCGAAUCUUGACUCUGCAAAUGAUACCUAGAUGAUUUUGAACAAGUCACUUCCCCUCUUGGAGCCUUAGAUCCCUCAUCUGUACACUGAGGGCACUGACUACAAAUCCUCCAAGUUGGCAGCCAGAGCUGACAUCCUGUGAUGCUGUGAAUGGACACAUGGCCAAUAAUGGCCUAGGAUAAAUGACACCUUAAUUUCUCCCUCGUCACAUACCUUCUUAGUUAGACCAAAACUACCGAGAGUGUAGUCAUUGACUUCUAGAUGUGUCACUCAUCAAUUAAUUUGAAAGUUUAUAAUUUUGUUUCUUUAGUGCAGUUAUUUGUCAAAUUGACUUUUUAAAUGCAUGGCCAUCUAUUCCUUUGUGGAUUCAGAAUAACUUAUUAAACAAACUUGGGUAAAGAAAAGAGGUAACAAAGUACCAGGCUAGAUUGCCAUGGCACAGGCGAGCAGGGAAGAAAAGCCACACACAUGGACCCACCAAACAGGACACGGUUUGAGCUCCCUGGAGAGCUGUUUGCUCAGGGCAGAGAGGGAGGUGUGGAAGCAAGGAUCUUUCUGGGCAAGGGUCGAUGGGGAAAGAAGAGGUUUCAGCUGAACUUCAGAAGGUGGUAAGGAGUUCAGUGGGCAGAAAUGAGAGCAGGGAUUCCAGAGGCAGAGCCAUCCGAAGCGCAAGGCCUCCUGGAUGCAUGAUGAGGACGCUCCGAGGGUCGGAGGAAGAAGGAAAAUGAAAUGGUUGAGUCUGGACAAAGCCUGUAGAUAUAGGCAAGGGAAGUCAUUGGUCUGUCUCCAAGAGCUCAAAGCCAGAAAGUUCCCAAAUUCAAGUGCGACAGAG
RNAcentral lists this long non-coding RNA (1691 nucleotides) under Equus caballus (horse). Its description in RNAcentral is "lncRNA (ENSECAG00000050079.1)". The record is from RNAcentral. Lineage: Eukaryota; Metazoa; Chordata; Mammalia; Perissodactyla; Equidae.